UACAGAGGUCUCAAGCGUUGUUCGGAUUCAUUGGGCGUAAAGGGUGCGUAGGUGGCGCCGUAAGUCAGGUGUGAAAUUUCGGAGCUUAACUCCGAAACUGCAUUUGAUACUGCGGUGCUUGAGGACUGGAGAGGAGACUGGAAUUCACGGUGUAGCAGUGAAAUGCGUAGAUAUCGUGAGGAAGACCAGUGGCGAAGGCGGGUCUCUGGACAGUUCCUGACACUGAGGAACGAAGGCCAGGGGAGCAAACGGG
Molecule: ribosomal RNA, 253 nt
Filed under: uncultured bacterium
Lineage: Bacteria
Description: partial 16S ribosomal RNA
Rfam family: Bacterial small subunit ribosomal RNA
Source: RNAcentral